Molecule: ribosomal RNA, 1352 nt
Filed under: metagenome
Description: bacterial LSU rRNA
Rfam family: Bacterial large subunit ribosomal RNA
Source: RNAcentral
CCCCGGGCGUAAGGGAGCGAAAUUAGAGUAGCGAAGUCCGCGAUGUUCGGAGGCGAGAAAAGCUCUGAGGUAUGCUAAGGUGCCCGUACCGCAAACCGACACAGGUAGAUGAGGAGAGAAUCCUAAGGCCAACGGGAGAAGGGUUGUUAAGGAACUCGGCAAAUUGACCCCGUAACUUCGGAAGAAGGGGAGCCCCCUACGGGGGGUCGCAGAGAAAUGGCCCAAGCAACUGUUUACCAAAAACACAGGUCUAUGCUAAAUCGAAAGAUGACGUAUAUGGGCUGACGCCUGCCCGGUGCCGGAAGGUUAAGAGGAGAUGUCAGGCAACGAAGCAUUGAAUUUAAGCCCCGGUAAACGGCGGCCGUAACGAUAACGGUCCUAAGGUAGCGAAAUUCCUUGUCAGGUAAGUUCUGACCCGCACGAAUGGCGUAAUGAUUUGGGCACUGUCUCAACAGCCCGCCCGGCGAAAUUGUAGUACUGGUGAAGAUGCCAGUUACCCGCAACUAGACGGAAAGACCCCAUGGAGCUUUACUGCAGCUUAAUACUGAAAUUCGGUAGUACAUGUACAGGAUAGGUGGGAGACUGAGAAAUACAGGCGGCAGCUUGUAUGGAGUCGCUGUUGGGAUACCACUCUUGUACUGCUGGGUUUCUAACCUGCGGCCGUGAAUCCGGUCGGGGGACACUGUUAGGCGGGCAGUUUGACUGGGGCGGUCGCCUCCCAAAAGGUAACGGAGGCGCUCAAAGGUUCGUUCAGCACGGACGGAAAUCGUGCAAUGAGUGUAAACGCAUAAACGAGCCUAACUGCGACACCGACGGGUGGAGCAGUAACGAAAGUUGGAGUUAGUGAUCCGGUGGUAUGUGAGUGGAAAUGCCAUCGCUCAACGGAUAAAGGCUACCCUGGGAUAACAGGCUGAUCUCCCCCAAGCGUCCACAGCGACGGGGAGGUUUGGCACCUCGAUGUCGGCUCGUCGCAUCCUGGGGCUGAAUUCGGUCCCAAGGGUUUGGCUGUUCGCCAAUUAAAGCGGCACGCGAGCUGGGUUCAGAACGUCGUGAGACAGUUCGGUCCCUAUCUGUUGCGGGCGUAAGAGAUUUGAAGGGAGCUGUCCUUAGUACGAGAGGACCGGGAUGGACGUACCUCUGGUGCACCAGUUGUCCUGCCAAGGGCAUAGCUGGGUAGCUAUGUACGGACGAGAUAAACGCUGAAAGCAUCUAAGCGUGAAACUCCCCCUAAGAUGAGAUCUCUCAUCCUUCAAGGAGUAAGGACCCAGAAAGACGAUCUGGUUGAUAGGCCGAAGGUGGAAGCGCAGUAAUGUGUGCAGCUGAUCGGUACUAAUAGUCCGAGGGCUUGACCU